This 1200-nucleotide long non-coding RNA is filed under the name Lupinus mutabilis. Its description in RNAcentral is "partial ncRNA". Lineage: Eukaryota; Viridiplantae; Streptophyta; Magnoliopsida; Fabales; Fabaceae. The record is from RNAcentral.
UAUGAAAGGAACUUGGUCUGCCUGUUCAAAUGGCAUCAGAAGCCGUGAGGAUACUUUGAGGGUUUCCCAUUCAGUUUCAAACUGCAACAACACCAGAACUAUUCACAAAAAAUGUAAAAAUGUUUGCCGUUACAACAAAGGUCCAUGGUCAGAUUGUGUCAACGGUGAAAAAUCACGAACCGAUACUUUGAAAAUACCAACUCCAGGCUGUGAAGCAACACGACCUGCCACCAAAAAAUGUAGACCAGCUUGUCGAUAUUCAAAGGGAGAAUGGACACCUUGUGAAAAUGGUGAAAAGAAGCGAACCUUAACCCGACUAGAAGGUGAUGGACCCGAUUGUCCAGCCACCAAGGCAGUAAGCAAACAAUGUUCACCUCAAGCCAAGAAAACCAAACAGCCUCGAAACAAAAAUCGAAAGACAAACUCAUCAUCAAUCACUCCAAGCCAAGCAUAUUAAACAUCUUAACCUGACUCAUUGCGCCGCACUUAUUCCUUCACACAUAAUCUGAUUCAAAAAGAAACAAAAAUUCAAUUCUAUUCACCCAAUCUUCACCAAAUCCUUUAGUACAUCUUUUCCAUUUUAUCCUCGAGACAACUUCCACUAUUACCUGAUUUCAAAUGUUUUUCAUCAACGUUCCCGUUUACACCAAAAGAAACCUUUUCUUUUCUAAUAUUUAUAGCAUAAAACUAUGAUUUUACUUUGAUAAUUUCAUGGUAAAAUUUCCCUGUAUCACCGAAGAGAAGAAUCUAUCGAAUCGAAGCGGCAAAUUUAGCAACUGUGGGUUUAUUUUCUUCUCAAAAGCAAUGGCAAGUUGAUCAAGUGAUGUCGAUAAAAGAUGAAACCAAAAUGUCAUCAUUUCUUCCAGUUUUUUUUUCCUUUUUCUCUUAUAUUUCUUAUUCUGUAACACAUUAUUGUUUCUAUUCAAUACAAUCUUUUUUUACUCUUAACCAAAAUAUUCAACAACGAAAAAAAAGAGUUGCUGUGAAACAAAAUAGAGACAAAACUGGGAAACUCUCAAGCUCAAAGGAGUAAAUGAAGGCCAGAAAAUAUGAAAGACUAACAUUGCGACAAAACAAGAUCUUCUCAUCGAGUCAUAACUGCGAAUUACCAAGAUUUACAUUCAAUUUUUCUCAUAAUUCAUUUGUUUUCUCUUUUUUCUUAUCAAUAUUCUUACUCUCAUUUUCUCUAGCUUUUGUCUC